GCUCGUUAUGCUAGAGCACUUUUUCAAUGGGCUUCCCAACGACAUGGCUGGUGAGAGACCGCCAGCCCCAGACUCAAGAAGUAUUGGUAUGAGCUGCUGAAGCUAGCUCACAAUAUCCCCUUAUAGAAACUUAGAAUGUGACCGCAAAUAAGAACCAAUUGCACGUCCCUGUGAUGACGACUACGCAUUCGGAUGUCUGCCCUAUCAACUUUCGAUGGACUUUCUGCGCCUACCAUGGUGACCAACGGUAACUGAGAAUCAGGGUUAGAUUCCGGAG
Non-coding RNA from Pelobates cultripes (western spadefoot toad), 277 nucleotides. NCBI's taxonomy places the organism in Eukaryota, Metazoa, Chordata, Amphibia, Anura, Pelobatidae. The record is from the annotation of a GenBank genome assembly.